This 739-nucleotide long non-coding RNA is filed under the name Helianthus annuus (common sunflower). RNAcentral describes it as "sRNA HanXRQr2_Chr01g0010571". The record is from RNAcentral. Lineage: Eukaryota; Viridiplantae; Streptophyta; Magnoliopsida; Asterales; Asteraceae.
UUUGUAAAAUUUUUAUUUUGAUACUGAUGAAUGGAAUCACUUUGCCAAUCUCCUGGUAUAUAAAUACAAACAUAUAUAUAAGUUGGAGUUUAGAUUUCGAUUGAAGGCAGAAAAGUAAUUGUUAAUUACAUAUAUUCGAUGAUCAUGUGGUGGGAAAGUUUGUUUUUGCAUAAUAUGUUAUCAUCUCCAAACUAAGCGGCCUAUUUGGAAUGCAAGAUAUCGAUCGUCGUUGCGGUUGCAAACGAUGAUGUGACGGUUUCAUCAGAUGAUUAAGGGCUCUUCUUGAUUCAAGUCAGAAUACAUCAAAUAAUUCUUUGGUUACAUGAUUGACAAACGGGAACCGAAGCGUGCAUCAUCACCUACGUAAGACAACCGCUAGGCGGUUUUUUAUUGGAGUUUCCGAAUCUUCUCUUCUUUUGUGGCAGUCAUAUGAGACUGGGAUCAGUUGCAAACUGUACUUAGUGAGCAAUUCAUUUUUCUCACUUUCAUAUGAAAUGGCGAAUAUAGAAUAGAGACCAAAGAAAACACCGACGCCAAAAUUCGAGGGUGUGGUGACACAUAGGGAAACACGGUCGCCAAAAUUCGUGAAAUUUAAACUACGGAAGAGGAUUUGAAGUUUGAUUUGAUGAUGAGAUUGUCGUUGGCGAAAAUGGUAGGGGUGAAUCAAUAAAUGAUGCAAGUUAGAGACUCUUUGUUUACCUCUUAAUGAGACUCUUAAUGGUUUAGACCUCUUACUGGU